This 510-nucleotide ribosomal RNA is filed under the name Alternaria alternata. RNAcentral describes it as "eukaryotic LSU rRNA". The stretch from base 150 to 303 matches the Rfam family "5.8S ribosomal RNA". The record is from RNAcentral. RNAcentral also lists the same sequence under 1 other name. Lineage: Eukaryota; Fungi; Ascomycota; Dothideomycetes; Pleosporales; Pleosporaceae.
GGGCUGGACCUCUCGGGGUUACAGCCUUGCUGAAUUAUUCACCCUUGUCUUUUGCGUACUUCUUGUUUCCUUGGUGGGUUCGCCCACCACUAGGACAAACAUAAACCUUUUGUAAUUGCAAUCAGCGUCAGUAACAAAUUAAUAAUUACAACUUUCAACAACGGAUCUCUUGGUUCUGGCAUCGAUGAAGAACGCAGCGAAAUGCGAUAAGUAGUGUGAAUUGCAGAAUUCAGUGAAUCAUCGAAUCUUUGAACGCACAUUGCGCCCUUUGGUAUUCCAAAGGGCAUGCCUGUUCGAGCGUCAUUUGUACCCUCAAGCUUUGCUUGGUGUUGGGCGUCUUGUCUCUAGCUUUGCUGGAGACUCGCCUUAAAGUAAUUGGCAGCCGGCCUACUGGUUUCGGAGCGCAGCACAAGUCGCACUCUCUAUCAGCAAAGGUCUAGCAUCCAUUAAGCCUUUUUUUCAACUUUUGACCUCGGAUCAGGUAGGGAUACCCGCUGAACUUAAGCAUAU